UUACACUUCUUUCUAAACAUCCGAAGAAUCAUUUUUCAAGACUGGUAACAAGAUAUGUUUGGGUUGUACUGGGACACAAAUUUUUGACCUGAAGUAAACCUUUUCAUCUUCAAACCAGCACGUCUUCUGUCAGCCACUGAGUGGAAUAUGGCUUCUGUUGUCGGUCGCACUUCUAAACGCUUUCUCAGGAGCGCUGAGCUUUGGAGGCAUGGAGCACCGAGCCCUGUGUCCUUACUGAUGCCAAGACGUCCUGCUGUUACAACUUCAACGGGAGCAGUUUUGCCCAAACCAGGCAUAGUGUCUUUUGGAAUUCUUCGUGUCUCCAUUGCUGUGCUGCCAUUCCUAUAUCUUGGUACAUUGAUGAGUCAACGUUUUGCUGCCUUUUUAGAAGAUUAUGACAUUUUUCUACCAUCAUAUGAUGAUGAUUAAACUUGUUCUUGCAGGCUUUUUGGUGAUCUGCAUUGUUCAGCUUCUUUGUCUUAUUGACUAUUACAAUGAGUACACUUUGAUACUCCCAAAAUUGUCUUUUAGAGAAGGGUAAUGAGGGAAAGUUUUGUACUGGAGAGCUCAGCAGUGGCCAUUUCCGCUACACUAUGAAUACACUCCAGAAUACAGGACCUGACACCAGCAAUAUUUAGACUCCCUAUGUGAACGAAGUUUGAUAAGCUUUGAUGGUGGGUUGCUUGUGGAUAUUCACAGCAAAGAAUAAGCCAAGCAAGCAGGAUGAGGUAAAGUCCUUAACAACUAAGAGCAUGUCAUGUAAUAAUAACUCUACAGCCCCCAUCAUUGAACAUCUCUGAUCUUCACAUUGUGGAAUUGACAAUUUUCGACAAUGCCACUGCUGAACUGCCCACCCCUUCAUUUUGCUGAAGUUGUAAUUCAGACAGUCCAACUAUGCAAUGUCACCUCUUAGUCAGCUUGUCAAUGAGGAGAUCUCCUCAGGCUUUUAUGUAACCUGUUAGCAGUAAGAAGGGAAGCAGAACUCAUAGCAACAAUAAGGUUAUGCAUUCUUCUUACAUAUGAAUCUGUCAAAGAUUAUUUAAAAAAAUGCAUGGAGGUUGUUAUAUUUUAGAUUACUUACUGCUUUAUGUUUUAUCGUUUGAAUAAAACUUCUACUCAUC
This is a long non-coding RNA of Erpetoichthys calabaricus (reedfish), 1121 nucleotides long. RefSeq lists it as uncharacterized. The transcript has 2 exons. Lineage: Eukaryota; Metazoa; Chordata; Cladistia; Polypteriformes; Polypteridae. The record is from RefSeq and is a predicted model, not a curated record.